This 72-nucleotide transfer RNA is filed under the name Heterocephalus glaber (naked mole-rat). It matches the Rfam family "tRNA". Rfam says of the family: Transfer RNA (tRNA) molecules are approximately 80 nucleotides in length. Lineage: Eukaryota; Metazoa; Chordata; Mammalia; Rodentia; Bathyergidae. The record is from Rfam by way of RNAcentral.
UGGGAUGUAGCUCAGUGGUAGAGUGUUUGUCUAGCAUGCACAAGGCCCUAGGUUCAAUCCCCAGUAUCCCCC